RNAcentral lists this unclassified non-coding RNA (144 nucleotides) under Bacillus mycoides. RNAcentral's name for it is "16S-23S ribosomal RNA intergenic spacer". The record is from RNAcentral. Lineage: Bacteria; Bacillati; Bacillota; Bacilli; Caryophanales; Bacillaceae.
AUGGAGAAUUGAUGAACGCAGUUCAUCAAUAAACGUUGACUUGUUUUGUUUCGUUCAGUUUUGAGAGAACUAUCUCUCAAGUUUAAAUGUAUGUUCUUUGAAAACUAGAUAACAGUGUAGCUCAUAUUUUUUUAAUUUUAGUUU